Molecule: ribosomal RNA, 253 nt
Filed under: uncultured bacterium
Lineage: Bacteria
Description: partial 16S ribosomal RNA
Rfam family: Bacterial small subunit ribosomal RNA
Source: RNAcentral
UACGUAGGUGGCGAGCGUUGUCCGGAUUUACUGGGCGUAAAGCGCGCGCAGGCGGUUCUGUAAGUCCUGGGUGAAAUCGCCCGGCUCAACUGGGCGGGGGCCUGGGGGACUGCGGGACUGGAGGGGCCUAGAGGCCGGUGGAACUCCCGGUGUAGUGGUGAAAUGCGUAGAGAUCGGGAAGAACACCAGUGGCGAAGGCGGUGAGCUGGGCAGUUGCUGACACUGAGGCGCGACAGCGUGGGGAGCGAUCCGG